This 181-nucleotide ribosomal RNA is filed under the name uncultured bacterium. Its description in RNAcentral is "partial 16S ribosomal RNA". It matches the Rfam family "Bacterial small subunit ribosomal RNA", at positions 350 to 522 of the family's 1533-position model. The record is from RNAcentral.
UACGUUGGGGAAUAUUGGAUAAUGGGCGAAAGCCUGAUCCAGCCAUGCCGCGUGUGUGAAGAAAGCCUUUUGGUUGUAAAGCACUUUUAGCGAGGAGGAGGCUACUUAGAUUAAUACUCUAGGAUAGUGGACGUUACUCGCAAAAUAAGCACCGGCUAACUCUGUGCCAGCAGCCGCGGUA